GUUGGUACUUGUACCGACUGGAUGAGCAGCGAACGGGUGAGUAACGCGUGGGGAAUCUGCCUUUGAGCGGGGGACAACAUUUGGAAACGAAUGCUAAUACCGCAUAAAAACUUUAAACACAAGUUUUAAGUUUGAAAGAUGCAAUUGCAUCACUCAAAGAUGAUCCCGCGUUGUAUUAGCUAGUUGGUGAGGUAAAGGCUCACCAAGGCGAUGAUACAUAGCCGACCUGAGAGGGUGAUCGGCCACAUUGGGACUGAGACACGGCCCAAACUCCUACGGGAGGCAGCAGUAGGGAAUCUUCGGCAAUGGACGAAAGUCUGACCGAGCAACGCCGCGUGAGUGAAGAAGGUUUUCGGAUCGUAAAACUCUGUUGGUAGAGAAGAACGUUGGUGAGAGUGGAAAGCUCAUCAAGUGACGGUAACUACCCAGAAAGGGACGGCUAACUACGUGCCAGCAGCCGCGGUAAUACGUAGGUCCCGAGCGUUGUCCGGAUUUAUUGGGCGUAAAGCGAGCGCAGGUGGUUUAUUAAGUCUGGUGUAAAAGGCAGUGGCUCAACCAUUGUAUGCAUUGGAAACUGGUAGACUUGAGUGCAGGAGAGGAGAGUGGAAUUCCAUGUGUAGCGGU
This 624-nucleotide ribosomal RNA is filed under the name Lactococcus lactis. RNAcentral's name for it is "bacterial SSU rRNA". It matches the Rfam family "Bacterial small subunit ribosomal RNA", at positions 72 to 682 of the family's 1533-position model. Lineage: Bacteria; Bacillati; Bacillota; Bacilli; Lactobacillales; Streptococcaceae. The record is from RNAcentral.